AACGAACGCUGGCGGCAUGCCUAACACAUGCAAGUUGAACGAGACCUUCGGGUCUAGUGGCGCACGGGUGCGUAACGCGUGGGAACCUGCCCUUAGGUUCGGAAUAACUCCCCGAAAGGGGUGCUAAUACGGAUAAUGUCUUCGGACCAAAGAUUUAUCGCCUUUGGAUGGGCCCGCGUUGGAUUAGCUAGUUGGUAGGGUAAAAGCCUACCAAGGCGACGAUCCAUAGCUGGUCUGAGAGGAUGAUCAGCCACACUGGGACUGAGACACGGCCCAGACUCCUACGGGAGGCAGCAGUGGGGAAUAUUGGACAAUGGGCGAAAGCCUGAUCCAGCAAUGCCGCGUGAGUGAUGAAGGCCUUAGGGUUGUAAAGCUCUUUUACCCGGGAUGAUAAUGACAGUACCGGGAGAAUAAGCUCCGGCUAACUCCGUG
Molecule: ribosomal RNA, 432 nt
Filed under: uncultured bacterium
Lineage: Bacteria
Description: partial 16S ribosomal RNA
Rfam family: Bacterial small subunit ribosomal RNA
Source: RNAcentral